This 2949-nucleotide long non-coding RNA is filed under the name Podarcis lilfordi (Lilford's wall lizard). Lineage: Eukaryota; Metazoa; Chordata; Lepidosauria; Squamata; Lacertidae. The record is from RNAcentral.
GGACUUCCGGUCGGCGCCAUCGGCUAAUGGCGGAUUUCCCUCCGAGCUCCGGAGGGGGUCUGCUUUACAAGUUCGGGUCCUGUCGCUACGGCGAAGCGGGGACCCUCAAAAAUUACAGGCGCGGAAGCCUGUGAACAAGGAGGCUCGGUGGGCACCAUCGCGCCCCCCCGAAAUCGCAAGGGAGCCUUUUUAAAGGCUCCGGAACGGCAGCGGGGGGAGAAGCGGUGCUGAGAGCCGCUACCCAGCUUGUGAAGCGAAGCCGCAUCGCCAUAGCCGGAGAGCGCCGAUUCCUUCCUGAAAAUUGGAUUACAAAGCAAAACUCGUGAGUAAGACUGAGACCUAAUUGGGAUUUACAACUAUCUUUUUGAAAUUUGGCUGAAAACGGGAUUGGUUUAAAGUAAGGAAGUCAGCCUUUCCCGGACUGCAUAAGGAUAAAGCAAAGAAGGAUUAAAAGCUGUAACCAUUGAGAGAUCGCAAAGAGUUAAGAGAACCAGACAUAAACUGUGAACUUCCCCCCUUUUGGUAGGCAGGAGCAAAAGGGGGGAAGUUGUGAUUAGAACCUGCCAGAAAAGGACUUUAAAAACUUUUCACCACUGUGUCAAACACCCCUGAAACGGACUGCCGGGGCAAAGGAACCUGGAGAGAUACAACUGUCAGUGAGCUGUCACUUGGAUUGUUACAUUGCUUUAAACUACUCAGCUCAGGAGAGAUACUAAAUUACAGGUUUGUUGAACUCUGAAAAUAUAAGAACUGUUACAAUUGACUACUGGGAAACCUCAGGGGAAUUUUUGGCUGUAAGACAUUUUGUUUAGUUUUGGAAACUUUCUUCCCCUAGAGGGCACUUUGAGAAUUGUUGCAAAUUGGAUUGUAACUACUAAGGCAGUGGAAAUUUCCCUUGAAAAACAACUAACAGCUGUGAGAGUGACCUUGGCUAGGCAUGAGUGGUGCACCAGAAGAGACAACAACCAGGUCUGGGAGACAAUACAAAGUAAAAUCUUCACAGCGAAGAGUUUCAGUCCCAGGCAUCCCAGUGGCACCAGCUGCAACUGGUCAGACAAGAACAAUAAUGUCAUCAGAUCCUGUAACACAAGCUUUGGUUAAAAUAAAUGAGUCUUUGGAAUCUUUGACAAAGCAGGGGGUGGAAAAUAGUAGAAAAUUGACAGAACUCUCAAUUAAACUUGAUCAGAAUACACAAAGUGUGAAUGAAUUAGGGAAAAGGGUGACAUCUAAUACAGAAUCUAUUAAUAAAAUAUUAGAGGACUCUGCCAAUAUACGUAAAAUUGCAGAAGAAGCCAAAGUCUCUGCUGAUGAAGCUAAAGUCUCGGCGGAUGCUACACAGGAAAAAAUUGCACCAGUUUGCAAAAAGUUAGAAGAUCACACAUUGGCCCUGUCUAUGCUUGAAUUGCAGAGAAGAGACAGAAAUUUAAGACUACGAGCGGUGCCUGAAAGCGAAGGAGAUAACUUGGCGAACUUCCUUUCCAAAGAAUUUGCGGAUUUUUGGCAACAGGAGUUAGAGAAAGAAGAAAUUAAAAUAGUCACUGCCUUUAGACUGGGAAGAGCACAAGGUAGGAAGAAGCCAAGGGAUUGCCUAAUAACAUUAAGAUCAAGAGAGGAGAGAGAUAAAAUAUUGAGCCUGCAUUUUCAAAGAACACUCGAGAUUGAAGAUUCUUUUGUGGAGAUUUUUAAAGAUAUUCCAAAGGAAAUUCUAGACGCAAGAACAAACUAUAAAGAACUGGUCGGAUUGCUGAAGAAGAACGAAGUACCUUUCAGGUGGGAAUUCCCACAAGGCCUAUCUUUUAAAUUUAAAGGUAGGAAAAUAAGGAUAAGAUCAGUAGAAGAUCGAGAUCAAUUUCUAAAUCACUAUAGGGAAGACCUUCUGAAAGGAACAGUCGGAGAGGAAAUAACACCAGAAUCGAAAGACGCAACAGACAUUUUAAACUUGACGUUUGGACUGAAAUCACCAACAGAAGAAGAACAACUACUCGGAGCAACAGGAGGCAAAUAGCUUCAGGAUGGCCUUGCAACUUCUAAGUUGGAAUUGUAACGGACUUAACCUUCCGCGAAAGAGGAAAAAUAUAUUUCAUUUAUUGAAAAAAGAGCAGUUGGACUUAAUUUGUUUACAGGAAACUCAUAUAACAAGAUUGCAUAGGAAACUACUCGUCAAUAAGAGAUUAGGCCAAGAAUUUAUUUCAUCGGAUAAAGUUAAGAAAAGAGGAGUGGUAAUCUAUGCAAAAGAAAAACUUUCCCCAAAGUUUAUAUUUAAAGAUGAACAAGGAAGGUAUUUGGCAAUUGAAGUGCAAAUUCAAGGUGAAAAAUUUUUGAUACUAGGGAUAUAUGCACCUAAUGAAGGGAAGUCAGAAUUUUUUAAGAAGUUGCAUGAGACAUUGUUGGACUAUUUGGAUUACAAAUUAAUCAUGAUGGGAGACAUGAAUGGAGUGGUAUCUACAAAUAUGGACAAAGCACAAAGACAGGUAAUCACCAGAGAUGGGAGACUACCAAAGACUUUCUUUGAAAUAACUGAAAAUAUGGACUUGAUUGAUAUUUGGAGAACAAGGAAUCCUCUCGAGAGAGAGGGAACCUUUUCUCUGAAGCAAUGAUGACCUGGACCAGAAUCGAUCAAAUUUGGAUUACUAGUGGGUUGGCUCCAAAGAUUAAAAAAGUGGAAAUCUGCCCAAAGACUUGCUCCGACCAUAACGCCGUGAAGAUGGAAAUGAAACUUACAACAACUGGUCAAUUCAGAUGGAGGAUGAAUGACACCCUGUUUCGAGAUGAGGAGAUCCACAGAAAGGCCCAAAAAAACUUUAAAGGACUAUUUUGAAAUAAAUCUAAAAACUGAUGUAGAAAAAAGAGUGAUCUGGGACGCAAGUAAAGCAGUGAUGCGAGGAUUUCUAAUUCAACAAAAUUCAGUAAAAAAGAGAAAGCAAAAUGAGAAGAAGGAUAAGAUCUUGG